GCCGUUAGCUCAGUUGGUAGAGCAGCUGACUCUUAAUCAGCGGGUCCAAGGUUCGAGUCCUUGACGGCCCACCA
Molecule: transfer RNA, 74 nt
Filed under: Candidatus Rokubacteria bacterium RIFCSPHIGHO2_12_FULL_73_22
Lineage: Bacteria; Candidatus Rokuibacteriota
Description: tRNA-Lys
Rfam family: tRNA
About the family: Transfer RNA (tRNA) molecules are approximately 80 nucleotides in length.
Source: RNAcentral